AUUGAACGCUGGCGGCAGGCCUAACACAUGCAAGUCGAACGAGUGGCGGACGUGUGCGUAAUGUCUGGGAAACUGCCUGAUGGAGGGGGAUAACUACUGGAAACGGUAGCUAAUACCGCAUACCAUCAGAUGUGCCCAGAUGGGAUUAGCUAGUUGGUGGGGUAACGGCUCACCAAGGCGACGAUCCCUAGCUGGUCUGAGAGGAUGACCAGCCACACUGGGACUGGGACACGGUCAAGACUCCUGCGGGAGGCAGCAGUGGUGAAGAUUGCACAAUGGGCGGAAGCCUGAUGCAGCCAUGCCGCGUGGAUGAAGAAGGCCUUCGGGUUGUAAAGUACUUUCAGCGGGGAGGCGUUACCCGCAGAAGAAGCACCGGCUAACGCCGUGCCAGCAGCCGCGGUAAUAC
RNAcentral lists this ribosomal RNA (406 nucleotides) under uncultured bacterium. Its description in RNAcentral is "partial 16S ribosomal RNA". It matches the Rfam family "Bacterial small subunit ribosomal RNA", at positions 30 to 526 of the family's 1533-position model. The record is from RNAcentral.